This 301-nucleotide ribosomal RNA is filed under the name uncultured bacterium. RNAcentral's name for it is "partial 16S ribosomal RNA". It matches the Rfam family "Bacterial small subunit ribosomal RNA", at positions 509 to 807 of the family's 1533-position model. The record is from RNAcentral.
CAGUCGCCGCGGUAAUACGUAGGGUGCAAGCGUUAAUCGGAAUUACUGGGCGUAAAGCGUGCGCAGGCGGUUAUAUAAGACAGAUGUGAAAUCCCCGGGCUCAACCUGGGAACUGCAUUUGUGACUGUAUAGCUAGAGUACGGCAGAGGGGGAUGGAAUUCCGCGUGUAGCAGUGAAAUGCGUAGAUAUGCGGAGGAACACCGAUGGCGAAGGCAAUCCCCUGGGCCUGUACUGACGCUCAUGCACGAAAGCGUGGGGAUCAAACAGGAUUAGAUACCCCGGUAGUCCCUGUCUCUUAUAC